CAGUCGCCGCGGGAAUACGAAGGGUGCAAGCGUUAAUCGGAAUUACUGGGCGUAAAGCGUGCGUAGGCGGUUUGUUAAGUCUGCUGUGAAAUCCCCGGGCUCAACCUGGGAAUGGCAGUGGAUACUGGCAAGCUAGAGUGUGUCAGAGGAUGGUGGAAUUCCCGGUGUAGCGGUGAAAUGCGUAGAGAUCGGGAGGAACAUCAGUGGCGAAGGCGGCCAUCUGGGACAACACUGACGCUGAGGCACGAAAGCGUGGGGAGCAAACAGGAUUAGAUACCCGCGUAGUCCCUGUCUCUUAUCA
This 301-nucleotide ribosomal RNA is filed under the name uncultured bacterium. RNAcentral describes it as "partial 16S ribosomal RNA". It matches the Rfam family "Bacterial small subunit ribosomal RNA", at positions 509 to 809 of the family's 1533-position model. The record is from RNAcentral.